Gadus chalcogrammus (walleye pollock) is the source of this 3952-nucleotide RNA transcript. It is a transcript of the gene named bcl-2-like protein 1, with no coding region annotated. The transcript has 5 exons. The record is from RefSeq and is a predicted model, not a curated record. NCBI's taxonomy places the organism in Eukaryota, Metazoa, Chordata, Actinopteri, Gadiformes, Gadidae.
CUGGCUCCAUCCUAUGACUUCCGUCUUUUUGACGGCGCCAUUUUGGAUUGAGUGUUAUCUUGGCUGAAAUAGAUACGGUUAGGCUAGCGGCUCUGCUCGCUCACCACUACGGCCAAGUCAGCAAAACAAUUCAAAGAGCGCCGAUGAGUUUCUUCUGAUUCACACUUUACGGCUAAUCGAAUAUCCAGUAUGUCGUUCUAAUGAAUGGUGCACUACUCUGUCCUUCUUUCGACCCUAUAGCUUGCUAGAAACAGUAACGUACAACAAAUGGGAUCGCUAGCUGGUUAGCUUGCACACUAGCAGAGCAUCACACAGCACCGGCUCCGAGUGCGAUCAUCAUCAUUAUUCACCUGAGUCCGUCCAGCCUGGCCCAGCUCAAAACUCUGUUGGACCAGUUCAUACUCUAGACAGACAUGUAUCAGCUCCCUGUGAACAACCUCACCAGGAUUCGGAGAGCCAGGAGGCAGGUGAAGAAAGCACUUGGUGACAUUGGGCUAGAAUACUGUAAAGAGGCGGCUGAGGAGUUCAAGGAGUUUUGCCCUAAUGAGCAAUAUGUCAAAGGAACUCUUUGCCUUGAGAUUUCCUCAUGGGACCCAUCAUACUCCAAAACACAGGAAUAUCGAUCCAAGCCAUUUUGCUGCACAGAGUGUCCAUUUUCUUCCAAAUACUACUCAGGCUACAAGAACCACUUUCGCAAUGUACACAGGCAGAAUUUUGAGAACAGCAUCCUGCUUAACUGUCCAUACUGCACCUUCACUGCGAGCAAGAGAACGAUGGAGACUCACGUGAAAAUAUUCCACAUACCGAGUUCAACUCGGCAGAACUACGGGACCAUCCAGGGCGCUGCGGUGGCCCAGAAGGACAAAGUAUGGCCAGACAAAGCUAAACAGGGAGACAAUGUGGAGAAAGCAAUGUACUUUUGCAAAAAAUGCACUUACCGGGACCCUCUAUAUAACAUUGUAAGACGACACAUUUACAGGGAACAUUUUCAGCAUGUGGUCUCCCCCUACCUUGGCAUGGUUUCUGAGUCAUCAGUCAAAAAUGGUGCAAAUUCUGUCAAUGGCAACAACAUCCUAUGUAAGCGCUGCCAGUUUUCCACACGAAGCUACGAGGCAUUAGUGCAGCAUGUGGUUGAGUACCACGAACGCAUUGGCUCUCAAGUCACAAGCAUGAUUGGGCAUGCCAAUGUUAUGGUUUCCAGGUCUCAAGCCUUCCCUGGAAUGUCACAGAAACCCUCCAUAGUGGCAUCCGCGGGCCGUAGCUUAACUUCUGAGCAAAUAGGCCACAUGAUGCGUGGCAACUUAAAACAGGGUCCCUCACUUCUUAAAAAUCAAUCUUCCAUUGCUGGACAUCCGGGGCGUGUCUCAAUUCCUGGAAGUAGCGCCUUGGCUGAAAGCACAUCUUCUGCUGUGAACACAUCCCAAACACAGAAGUGGAAGAUAUGCACUGUAUGCAAUGAGCUUUUUCCAGAAAAUCUCUAUAGUGCUCAUUUUGAAAAGGCACAUAAAGCAAAGAAAGUUUGGGCGAUGGCCAAAUACAUAAUGAAGAUCCACAACUUCACCAGCAAGUGCUUGCUUUGCAAUCGAUAUCUGCCCAGUGAUACAUUGCUUAACCACAUGUUAAUCCACGGGCUCACCUGCCCUCAGUGCCAUUCUGCUUUCCACAACGUUGAGAAGAUGAUUGAGCAUGUCAAGCAGGUUCACCCAGACGACUAUGUUGGGCCUACGGCUACAUCCCCGUUAACCUUUGACCUCACCAUCAAACAAGACAAGUCUAACAACAUACAGCUUGUUGUAAUCACAUUUAACAUGAAGGAGUCCAUCAAUGGUCAGGAUCCAACUGCAUCUGCUCAGAGCAGCAGUCCCCCUUUGGUUAAAGUAACCGUUCCUAAGGUGAUGGACAGGAAAGGAGAGGCACAUGCUAGAAAUCCAACGGCUCUAACUGACAAGAGUGAGGUGGGUAAGACCCUCUGCCCGCUGUGUUUCACCAUCCUUAAGGGCCCCAUCGUCCAUGCCCUCGCCCAGCAUCUACGGGAGCGACACCAAGUGCUCCAGACGAUGCACCCGGUGGAGAAAAAGAUGACAUACAAGUGCAUACACUGCCUUGGGGUGUACACAAGCAACAUGGUGGCCUCCACGAUCACCUUGCAUCUUGUGCAGUGCAGGGCAGUGGGCCGGUCCCAUGCAGGCCAGGGCAUGAAGUCUGCCCUGACUCUGAACUCCUCUGGUGCCGGGUUCCUGAAGAGACGGCUACCCACUCCGACCACAUCAGACCCCAAGAGGUUCAAACUAAACGAUUCGAAGACGACCUCUGCUGCACCCGGACCCCGGGAUGAUGCAGAUCUCGUGCUGGAUCCUAGAAGUUACGAACAUAAGACGUAUGAGGCCCGUAAAGCCUUCCUCACAGCCUACUUCAACAAGCGCCCUUACCUCUCUCUCAAAGAAGAGGAGAAGCUGUCCGCUAGUCUAUGGCUCUGGAAGUCAGACAUUGCCAGUCACUUUUUAAACAAACGGCGGGUGUGUGAGAGCGACUGUGAGUCAAAGAAAUCUUCUGUGCUGCUUGGCUUUGACAUGCAGGCCCUCAAGAAAAUAAAGCAUGACAUGACAUUCGAGGAAAUCAAACUGGCUGGUACCUCACGCAGACCCGGAGGCCUCAAGUCCGGCACCCCAUCCAUGCACCAAAACAAACAAUGUGAGGCAAUUAACUGUACACUAAAGCUUAGUACAUAUACAGAGACCAUAUCCAUUGACUCGGACAGUGAACCAGAAAUAGAGGAGGGUGUAGUUGAGAAUGUCGACGACGACAUUCCCAGUGAGGACGUCCAAGAGGUUACGAAAGAAAUCCAGAGCACUACAGAUGGGACUUCCAGAGGGGAGACAAACAAUUUGAACGAUGGGAAAGCAAAUACUUUGGUAGCACUGUGUUAGUGUCCGUGCUCUGAAGUGUGCCUUGAUUCAGUCCUUUGCAUUUGUGUGAGGAUGGCUGGUGGAGAAAUGUUUCAACAACAGCAACAUUCAGAAUUCAGAUAUUUGGGCUAAUGGCAUGGUACAUGGAAAUACUGUAACAACUAAUACUGACCUUCAUACCAGUAUUGAGAGAGAAAUCAAGCUAUAUUAUUGUGCAAAAAAUUGUAUGGCUUCUGUAAGUGGCAUAAUUUGUGACAUUGUAAAUAAUUUAGGCAUUGUACUUUGUUAGACUAUACAUAUGUUCACUGUUGCUCAUUAGUUCACUGAUUUAUGAAACAAUUUUCCCAAUUUGAUAUUCUUUUUUGUCAUUGUGAAAUGUAACUGUAUUGACAUUUCACUCAUAGAAAAUGUAGGAUAUGCUAAUUGUCUAUGUACACGUUUAAAUAAAUAAGCUUAUUUCCUAAAAAUCCCUGAUUUCUAUCUUUAUUUUUUUACUUUGCAAACAAUAGAUUUGGGGCUUCAAAUAUUUGUGCUUGCAGUGAUAUAUAGUUGAGUUUAUUCAGCCCAUGGACAGAAUGAGUAUUUGAAAUGUUACAUUGCAUGUUCAGAUAAUAACAAUUUUACCCCCUAACAUUUAGUAUUAGAUCGCUUGUUGCCCCCUAACGUUUUGUUGUUGAUGGCUUUUUGUUGUUUCUGAAUUAACUUCCGGCUCUGGGAAACCACCUAUUGGUAAAAAAAAAUCUAGAAGGAGGGACAUCCGCUUCGAGAUUUGGCCAAUAGCAACAGGCCAAUACUAACACGUCAAGGCCUAUUUUCAGCUGUAAAAUGUCGAUAUUUGUUUUGUUAUUUUCAGAUAUGCAUUUUAUAAAACCCUUUUGGUUUUGAAUUGAGAAGAAUUCACCACUUCUCCAUGGAUUCAUGUCUUCGCAGGCCAACAGCACCGGUUGCCAACGACAGAAAGCCAAUCAAAGUGAAGAGAUCCAAUUUUAGCUAUAGAGCUGACGGUCAGCUUGAGCAGAAGCACCCAACCAUGAAGUCUGACUAGG